This 72-nucleotide transfer RNA is filed under the name Saccharomycodes ludwigii. RNAcentral describes it as "tRNA-Thr". It matches the Rfam family "tRNA". Rfam says of the family: Transfer RNA (tRNA) molecules are approximately 80 nucleotides in length. Their secondary structure includes four short double-helical elements and three loops (D, anti-codon, and T loops). Further hydrogen bonds mediate the characteristic L-shaped molecular structure. tRNAs have two regions of fundamental functional importance: the anti-codon, which is responsible for specific mRNA codon recognition, and the 3' end, to which the tRNAs corresponding amino acid is attached (by aminoacyl-tRNA synthetases). tRNAs cope with the degeneracy of the genetic code in two manners: having more than one tRNA (with a specific anti-codon) for a particular amino acid; and 'wobble' base-pairing, i.e. permitting non-standard base-pairing at the 3rd anti-codon position. The record is from RNAcentral. Lineage: Eukaryota; Fungi; Ascomycota; Saccharomycetes; Saccharomycodales; Saccharomycodaceae.
GUAAAUAUAGUUCAAUGGUAGAACGUAUGUUUUUAGGUAUAUAUAAUUUGAGUUCAAAUCUCAAUAUUUACA